Molecule: transfer RNA, 68 nt
Filed under: Marmota monax (woodchuck)
Lineage: Eukaryota; Metazoa; Chordata; Mammalia; Rodentia; Sciuridae
Description: tRNA.Ala
Source: RNAcentral
GGAUUGUGGCUCAGGGGUAGAGUGCUUACCUAGCAUGUGUGAAGCACUGGGUUCGAUUCUCAGCACCA